UAGGCGCUCCCCCCGAGCCCCACCCCAUCUCUGCCGAUCCCCAUGGUGUGCCGCCGGUGGCUAUCGUCCGAGAGGAAGGCCGCACCACCAGUCCACCAUCCCUCCUCGCACGGCCGCGCCUCACCUCACCACUCCAGAUCCCAUAGGUGCGCCGCUGGUGGAUAUCUUCCUCGUUUCUCCGAUUUGAAACCCUAGGUUGGGCGCUGCCGACGGAUGCCGCGUUGAGUCCAUGGCCGACCUCCUCGUCCAGGCUUGGAAUAAGCUGCUCGAAGGUGAUGGGAUGGCUGGAGCAACCGUCGAUCCAGGAAAAGGUGAGUUGUUCUGCAGUGGAUCAGGGAGGCCAGUCUCUGUCAGCAAGAGGGCCAGGGCGUUGGUCGGGGAGGAGGUGGAGAAGGCUGGUAUUAAUAGAAGAGCUUAUGAGUCCAACUUUUGUUUUGCUUCGCCAUUCUGGUGUUGUUGGCCAUGAUUCCGGCCUCCGAUGGCUGGCCCCCCGCCACUCGCUACGACGGCACAGCUCUAUGCGUGCGGCUAUGUUAUUCCGCCACGGUCACCAUCACCUUUCUCCCAUCUGUUUACAGACGCUGCCAAACUUGAUGAAAUCAGAAUUUGUUCUCGCCAAUGUCUAAUUCCGUUAUGGUUACAGUUGGUGAUAGUAUGCCGCCAAAUGCAGUAGCAACACAUGGCCGGAAACCAUACCAUGGGAGAAGGAACUUAUGCGAGGACCUGUUCUCCUGAGAUGACCGAAGGAUAAAGAAGGUGUAAAGACUGACGGUGAAGCUGAAGGCGUAAUGGUUAAUGAUCAGGCAGAAGGUGUGAUGGUUAAUAACAAAGGUGCGGAUGAAGGUGAACAUAAGCAUGGAUAGUCUAUUGGUACUGUGCUGGGAGAAACUUGCAUUAGCCUUAUUUAUAAAAAAUGCAGAUGCGGAAGUAUAGAU
Molecule: long non-coding RNA, 935 nt
Organism: Triticum aestivum (bread wheat)
Lineage: Eukaryota; Viridiplantae; Streptophyta; Magnoliopsida; Poales; Poaceae
Exons: 4
Source: RefSeq, a predicted model, not a curated record